Molecule: ribosomal RNA, 482 nt
Filed under: uncultured bacterium
Lineage: Bacteria
Description: partial 16S ribosomal RNA
Rfam family: Bacterial small subunit ribosomal RNA
Source: RNAcentral
GACGAACGCUGGCGGCGUGCUUAACACAUGCAAGUCGAACGAUGAAGCAGAGAAACGCGCACUUCGGUUCAAAUUUCACUUCGGAUUAGUGGCAGACGGGUGAGUAACGCGUGAGCAACCUACCUCUUACAAAGGGAUAGCCUCGGGAAACCGUGAUUAAUACCAUAUGACACAUUCAUAAGGCAUCUUAAGAAUGUUAAAGCUACGGCGGUAAGCGAUGGGCUCGCGUCCCAUUAGCUAGUUGGUGAGGUAACGGCCCACCAAGGCGACGAUGGGUAACCGGCCUGAGAGGGUGAACGGUCACAUUGGAACUGAGACACGGUCCAAACUCCUACGGGAGGCAGCAGUGGGGAAUAUUGCACAAUGGAGGGAACUCUGAUGCAGCGACGCCGCGUGAGCGAUGAAGGAAUUCGUGUCGUAAAGCUCUGUUCUAUGGGAAGAAAAGGACUGUACCAUAGGAGAAAGCCCCGGCUAAAUACGUG